RNAcentral lists this transfer RNA (95 nucleotides) under Myxococcus virescens. RNAcentral describes it as "tRNA-Glu". Lineage: Bacteria; Pseudomonadati; Myxococcota; Myxococcia; Myxococcales; Myxococcaceae. The record is from RNAcentral.
GCUGCGAGUAGGUGGAGGCGAGGUCGUCCUCGCUCUCCGCGAGGUGGAAGACGGUGGGCGCGUCCAGCACCCGGCUCAGCUCCGCGAUGCGGCGC